CCCCUAGAUGUUCUGGGCCACACGCGCGCUACACUGAACAGUUCAACAAGUCUUAACCUUGGCCGAUAGGUCUGGGUAAUCUUUGAACGCUGUUCGUGAUUGGGAUAGACCUUUGCAAUUAUGGGUCUUCAACGAGGAAUUCCUAGUAAACGCAAGUCAUCAACUUGCAUUGAUUACGUCCCUGCCCUUUGUACACACCGCCCGUCGCACCUACCGAUUGAAUGGUCCGGUGAAGCCUCCGGAUUGGCGCGCACCUCGGUGCCGCCGAGAAGUUGGCUAAACCUUACCAUUUAGAGGAAGGUGAAGUCGUAACA
RNAcentral lists this ribosomal RNA (314 nucleotides) under uncultured eukaryote. Its description in RNAcentral is "partial 18S ribosomal RNA". It matches the Rfam family "Eukaryotic small subunit ribosomal RNA", at positions 1470 to 1796 of the family's 1831-position model. The record is from RNAcentral.